RNAcentral lists this ribosomal RNA (159 nucleotides) under uncultured Anoxybacillus sp. RNAcentral describes it as "partial 16S ribosomal RNA". It matches the Rfam family "Bacterial small subunit ribosomal RNA", at positions 1224 to 1382 of the family's 1533-position model. The record is from RNAcentral. Lineage: Bacteria; Bacillati; Bacillota; Bacilli; Caryophanales; Anoxybacillaceae.
GCUACAAUGGGCGGUACAAAGGGUCGCGAACCCGCGAGGGGGAGCCAAUCCCAAAAAGCCGCUCUCAGUUCGGAUUGCAGGCUGCAACUCGCCUGCAUGAAGCCGGAAUCGCUAGUAAUCGCGGAUCAGCACGCCGCGGUGAAUACGUUCCCGGGCCUU